This 440-nucleotide ribosomal RNA is filed under the name uncultured bacterium. Its description in RNAcentral is "partial 16S ribosomal RNA". It matches the Rfam family "Bacterial small subunit ribosomal RNA", at positions 338 to 795 of the family's 1533-position model. The record is from RNAcentral.
CCUACGGCGGGCAGCAGUGGGGAAUAUUGCACAAUGGGGGAAACCCUGAUGCAGCGACGCCGCGUGAGUGAAGAAGUAAUUCGUUAUGUAAAGCUCUAUCAGCAGGGAAGAAAAUGACGGUACCUGAGUAAGAAGCCCCGGCUAACUACGUGCCAGCAGCCGCGGUAAUACGUAGGGGGCAAGCGUUAUCCGGAUUUACUGGGUGUAGAGGGAGCGUAGACGGCAGUGCAAGUCUGGAGUGAAAGGCGGGGGCUCAACCCCCGGACUGCUCUGGAAACUGGACGGCUGGAGUGCAGGAGAGGUAAGUGGAAGUCCUAGUGUAGCGGUGAAAUGCGUAGAUAUUAGGAGGAACACCAGUGGCGAAGGCGGCUUACUGGACUGUAACUGACGUUGAGGCUCGAAAGCGUGGGGAGCAAACAGGAUUAGAUACCCCAGUAGUC